Malus domestica (apple) is the source of this 1210-nucleotide non-coding RNA. Lineage: Eukaryota; Viridiplantae; Streptophyta; Magnoliopsida; Rosales; Rosaceae. The record is from RefSeq and is a predicted model, not a curated record.
CGGGCAGAGGAUUCGCCCCGCCACGUCGGCAAUGAGGGGUUUCGCAUCUUCGGCGAAAGAGGUAAUCUGACGCCUACCAUCAUCUAAUCUUUGGCAUUUAUAAUCCAUGCGAUUGCUUAACAAAAAAUUUAUGUUUUUUGCUUUUUCAGAAGAUUAAUUUUUGUGUAAAAUAUAAAUCUUAUAAACAUUCUACCCAUUGUUUAGUUUAACGAAUUUUGUAGUGUUAGUUCUGCACCAUUCCAAUUUGCCUUUGAUUGGAUAAAUAAUAGCCUUGUUUAGCUAAUUUGCAAAUUUCCUCAUAUUCCUAAGUUGGCAUUUUUAGUCAAAAAUUUUAGAUUUUACAGAUUUUUCCAGUUCAUGAUGAUAAAAAUUUAGGGCUUUGAUUUAUUGAUGUGAUUUCCACGUACUCUGAAUUCAAAUAGAAAUGCAAGGAUAUAUUAGAUGUGUGAGUAAAUUUCCAGUCUUCAUAUAUUUGUUUAACCCUUAACGAUAUGUGAAUUAUUGAUUGAUAAUUGAUAAUAUGUAUGCUAUUAUUUAUUAAGAAGAAUUAGUUCGUUAAUUUGUUGGGCUUGGUUGUUUUCGCAUGUUGAUGUUAUAAAGCUCCUCUUUAUAGUUAGGUUGAAGAUCAUGUGAAUAGAUUUUUUUUUGGUUGGUUUAUAUCGGGCGAUUCCGGAGGCCUUGCCAUCGAGGACAAAGAUAGCAAGGUUCUAAAUCAAAUUUUUAUCCUGGUUCUACUGCUGGGUUCACUAUCAAUAAAAGGCACAUGAAAUAUGGUAUUGAUUUUAGAGCCUUUGAUUUCUCAAAUUGUCUUUAUACAUCGAAUGUCAUCUGAAUUUAGUUGUAGUUAUUUUGUCAAAGUUUGUUAUUGUUUAGCUUUUUCAAAUGGCAGCCUUGGUAUUUGCCCGGUAUUUUUUGUGAAUUCCAAACUUUGCUUAUAAUUGUAGGUACGUAAAAGUUGCCAAUUGGAUUUGUUCCCCAGAUGAUAAUGGCAUACCUAUAUAAUGGUUGUUCUUUUGCUUUGAUGUAGAAGUAAGAAAAUUGUUUUGCCUCUUAUGUAUCCUGCUUCUUUCUGUCCGUGUGUUCUUUGUUCAAAGGUUGGUUGGUUGUUAAACUUGCUGCUGUAGAAGAGUUAAUUUCUGGUAGGCAGAUGAUUAUAGUGUUGUUCCUAUUAUGCAUAAGGUCGUGGUAAUAAUAUUGUGAGAUUUUGGGU